CAUGCACCAAUGGGGUCCCUCAGCUUGGCCUGUGGGAUCAGGAAAAAACUGACUCGCUGACAUCCCCCAAGGGGUCCCAGAUUGUGAGAGGGCGCAGGCCAGGCUGAGGGACCCCACUGGUGCACG
RNAcentral lists this microRNA precursor (126 nucleotides) under Myotis lucifugus (little brown bat). RNAcentral's name for it is "mir-9193 microRNA precursor family". It matches the Rfam family "mir-9193 microRNA precursor family". Lineage: Eukaryota; Metazoa; Chordata; Mammalia; Chiroptera; Vespertilionidae. The record is from Rfam by way of RNAcentral.